UAGUAUUCAAUUGUCAGAGGUGAAAUUCUUGGAUUUAUUGAAGACUAACUACUGCGAAAGCAUUUGCCAAGGAUGUUUUCAUUAAUCAAGAACGAAAGUUAGGGGAUCGAAGACGAUCAGAUACCGUCGUAGUCUUAACCAUAAACUAUGCCGACUAGGGAUCGGAUGAUGUUAAUUUUUUAAUGACUCA
RNAcentral lists this ribosomal RNA (190 nucleotides) under uncultured fungus. RNAcentral's name for it is "partial 18S ribosomal RNA". It matches the Rfam family "Eukaryotic small subunit ribosomal RNA", at positions 892 to 1078 of the family's 1831-position model. The record is from RNAcentral. RNAcentral also lists the same sequence under 1 other name. Lineage: Eukaryota; Fungi.